GAUGAACGCUGGCGGCGUGCCUAAUACAUGCAAGUCGAGCGAACAGAUAAGGAGCUUGCUCCUUUGACGUUAGCGGCGGACGGGUGAGUAACACGUGGGUAACCUACCUAUAAGACUGGAAUAACUCCGGGAAACCGGGGCUAAUGCCGGAUAACAUUUAGAACCGCAUGGUUCUAAAGUGAAAGAUGGUUUUGCUAUCACUUAUAGAUGGACCCGCGCCGUAUUAGCUAGUUGGUAAGGUAACGGCUUACCAAGGCAACGAUACGUAGCCGACCUGAGAGGGGGAUCGGCCAAAAUGGAACGGAGACACGGUCGAGACUACUACGGGAGGCAGCAGUAGGGAAGCUUCCGAAAUGGGCGAAAGCCUGACGGAGCAACGCCGCGUGAGUGAUGAAGGUCUUCGGAUCGUAAAACUCUGUUAUUAGGGAAGAACAAAUGUGUAAGUAACUAUGCACAUCUUGACGGUACCUAAUCAGAAAGCCACGGCUAACUACGUG
Molecule: ribosomal RNA, 497 nt
Filed under: uncultured bacterium
Lineage: Bacteria
Description: partial 16S ribosomal RNA
Rfam family: Bacterial small subunit ribosomal RNA
Source: RNAcentral